This 23-nucleotide non-coding RNA is filed under the name Arabidopsis thaliana (thale cress). Lineage: Eukaryota; Viridiplantae; Streptophyta; Magnoliopsida; Brassicales; Brassicaceae. The record is from RNAcentral.
UCUUUCGGUGUCAGUUUAGCUCA